Molecule: long non-coding RNA, 404 nt
Filed under: Helianthus annuus (common sunflower)
Lineage: Eukaryota; Viridiplantae; Streptophyta; Magnoliopsida; Asterales; Asteraceae
Source: RNAcentral
UCUAUCGUCAUUGAUGCAUAAAUAAAGAUACCAAUUAGUAGUGAUUGAAUUCCUUCUAUGGUUCCACAUGAGAAACCAGUACGAAUAUAACCUACAUGUCCAAUUGAACUAUGAGCUAGAAGUCUUUUGACUUUCGUUUGGGCCAUGGCGGCCAGCGCUCCUAAGAUCAUAGAAGCAAUGCUGCAGAAAAAGAAGAUUUGUUGCAAUGUAGCUCCAUAAGAACCAUAAAUAGAAAGACGUGAAAUAUUAGCAGAAAUAGAGAUUUUAGGCGCAAUAGAAAGGAAUGCUCCGCCCGAAAAGGAACUGCAGUGAUCUUGAAUAGGGAUCCUACAGCGAUAGAUAGAAUCCCCAUAAAAAUACCACUAGAUCGAGCACCGGUGAUUUCGUAUCCGGUCAAAAUCUUG